GACGUAGGUGGCGAACGUUAUCCGGAAUUAUUGGGCGUAAAGGGUGCGUAGGCGGCAUGAUAAGUUAUUGGCGGCAAAUCGAGGCUCAACCUCGUGGAAACUGAUAAUACUGUCUUGCUUGAGUGCAGAAGAGGUUAACGGAACUCCAUGUGGAGCGGUAAAAUGUGUAGAUAUAUGGAAGAACAUCAAUAACGGCGAAGGCAGUUAACUAUUCUGUUACUGACGUUGAGGCACGAAAGCGUGGGGAGCGAACAGG
RNAcentral lists this ribosomal RNA (256 nucleotides) under uncultured bacterium. RNAcentral describes it as "partial 16S ribosomal RNA". It matches the Rfam family "Bacterial small subunit ribosomal RNA", at positions 524 to 776 of the family's 1533-position model. The record is from RNAcentral.